RNAcentral lists this transfer RNA (73 nucleotides) under Camelus bactrianus (Bactrian camel). It matches the Rfam family "tRNA". Rfam says of the family: Transfer RNA (tRNA) molecules are approximately 80 nucleotides in length. Their secondary structure includes four short double-helical elements and three loops (D, anti-codon, and T loops). RNAcentral also lists the same sequence under 2 other names. Lineage: Eukaryota; Metazoa; Chordata; Mammalia; Artiodactyla; Camelidae. The record is from Rfam by way of RNAcentral.
GAGGGUAUAGCUCAAGUGGUAGAGUGCAUGCUUAGCAUGCACAAGGUCUUGGGUUCAAUUCCAAGUACCUCCU